AAACCAACAGGGAUUGCCUUAGUAACGGCGAGUGAAGCGGCAAAAGCUCAAAUUUGAAAUCUGGCACCUUCGGUGUCCGAGUUGUAAUUUGAAGAAGGUAACUUUGGAGUUGGCUCUUGUCUAUGUUCCUUGGAACAGGACGUCACAGAGGGUGAGAAUCCCGUGCGAUGAGAUGCCCAAUUCUAUGUAAAGUGCUUUCGAAGAGUCGAGUUGUUUGGGAAUGCAGCUCUAAGUGGGUGGUAAAUUCCAUCUAAAGCUAAAUAUUGGCGAGAGACCGAUAGCGAACAAGUACAGUGAUGGAAAGAUGAAAAGAACUUUGAAAAGAGAGUGAAAAAGUACGUGAAAUUGUUGAAAGGGAAGGGCUUGAGAUCAGACUUGGUAUUUUGCGAUCCUUUCCUUCUUGGUUGGGUUCCUCGCAGCUUACUGGGCCAGCAUCGGUUUGGAUGGUAGGAUAAUGACUAAGGAAUGUGGCUCUACUUCGGUGGAGUGUUAUAGCCUUGGUUGAUACUGCCUGUCUAGACCGAGGACUGCGUCUUUUGACUA
RNAcentral lists this ribosomal RNA (543 nucleotides) under Debaryomyces hansenii. RNAcentral's name for it is "partial 26S ribosomal RNA". It matches the Rfam family "Eukaryotic large subunit ribosomal RNA", at positions 62 to 610 of the family's 3401-position model. Lineage: Eukaryota; Fungi; Ascomycota; Pichiomycetes; Serinales; Debaryomycetaceae. The record is from RNAcentral.